CCUACGGGAGGCAGCAGUGAGGAAUCUUCCACAAUGGGCGAAAGCCUGAUGGAGCAACGCCGCGUGGGUGAAGAAGGUCUUCUGAUCGUAAAACCCUUUUGUUAGAGAAGCAAAUGCGUGAGAGUAACUGUUCACGUUUCGACUGUAUCUAACCGGACAGCCACGGCUAACUACGUGCCCGCAGCCACGGUGAUACGUAGGUGGCCAGCGUUAUCCGGAUUUAUUGGGAGUAAAGGGAAGGCAGGCGGUCUUUUAAGUCUGAUGUGAAGGCCUUCGGCUUAACCGGAGUAGUGCAUUGGAAACUGGGAGACUUGAGUGCAGAAGAGGAGAGCGGAACUCGAUGUGUAGCGGUGAAAUGCGUAGAUAUAUGGCAGAACCCCAGUGGCGAAAGCGGCCUUCCGGUCCGUAACUGACGCUGAGGUUCGAAAGCGUGGGUAGCAAACAGGAUUAGAUACCCGGGUAGUC
RNAcentral lists this ribosomal RNA (465 nucleotides) under uncultured bacterium. RNAcentral's name for it is "partial 16S ribosomal RNA". It matches the Rfam family "Bacterial small subunit ribosomal RNA", at positions 338 to 795 of the family's 1533-position model. The record is from RNAcentral.